AUUGAACGCUGGCGGCAUGCCUUACACAUGCAAGUCGAACGGCAGCACGGGUGCUUGCACCUGGUGGCGAGUGGCGAACGGGUGAGUAAUACAUCGGAACGUACCUUAUCGUGGGGGAUAACGCAGCGAAAGCUGUGCUAAUACCGCAUACGCCCUGAGGGGUAAAGCGGGGCAUCGCAAGACCUCGCGCGAUUAGAGCGGCCGAUGCCUGAUUAGCUUGGUGGUGGGGUAAAAGCCCACCAAGGCGACGAUCAGUAGCUGGUCUGAGAGGACGAUAGGCCACACGGGGACUGAGAAACGGCCCAGACUCCAACGGGAGGCAGCAGUGGGGAAUUGUGGACAAUGGGGGGAACCCUGAUCCAGCAAUGCGGCGUGAGUGAAGGAGGCCUUCGGGUUGUAAAGCUCUUUUGUCAGGGAAGAAACACCGGCUCUAACACAGUCCGGGAAUGACGGUACCUGAAGAAUAAGCACCGGCUAACUACGGGCCAGCCGCCGCCGUAA
Molecule: ribosomal RNA, 501 nt
Filed under: uncultured bacterium
Lineage: Bacteria
Description: partial 16S ribosomal RNA
Rfam family: Bacterial small subunit ribosomal RNA
Source: RNAcentral